GCGGCCCGCUGCACGCGCACUGGCCACCCGGAGGGCCCCGCCAGCCUGGGAACCCGGAGGCCGCGGGGCGUCAGUAUGCGAAGCUGCCUCCCACACCAGACCCGCUGCCCCGAAGCCCUUCGGCCUUAGAGCGUUAUCGUUGUCGCUGUCUUUCCCCCCGGCGGCCAGAGGGGCCGUCCUAACGCCGCCGGCGCCCGCGUGCCCGCGUCUGCAGCAGGAUUCCUGCGGAGCUGUACUUGUUUUACAUCCAUGUGAACUGCUGUCAUCACUACUGUGUCCAAGCCCAGAGGAUGAACUGGAAAAGAAGAGAGGGGGAAAAUAAUAAAAAGAGGAAAUUGGUUUUCACAACACACUCAAAGCCUGAGUAACAGAGGAGAACUUUAAUUAUCUCCAGUCACAAAGAGAGACAGGAAAUUUGGACUUUUAAUUAGCCAUUUGGAGUGCAGUUGGAUAUUUUUUUAGCUAGAUAAUUUAAACGCGAAUAAUUCAAGUCUGACUAAAUGAAAGUCACAUAAUCAGAAUGCAGAUAAUUGAAUUUCUACUGCAUUCAUUAAUUCGGUGUGGAGGUGUGUGUGAAGACUACUAUGAUGAGCUGUCACAGCUCAAUAAAAUCUCAGUCAAUUAAUUUUUUCAUUAUCUUAGUAUUACAUCAACAAAAAAGUGAAGUAUGCGUAUAUUUCUAUACGCAUGCAUAUGUGCGCUGUGUGUUAUAUAAAUACAUACACGUUAAAUCAAAACGCAGGGAAAUACCUUUCUGAAUCAUAA
Molecule: non-coding RNA, 765 nt
Organism: Microcebus murinus (gray mouse lemur)
Lineage: Eukaryota; Metazoa; Chordata; Mammalia; Primates; Cheirogaleidae
Source: RefSeq, a predicted model, not a curated record